CAGGGGAUUUUGGUUAUCGGGUGAAAAAUUAAACUCAAAGUCUCAGUCAGCUGUGAGUGCACAAACGGCACAGAUGAACAACUAUGACAAUUUGAUUUGGCAACCGAAAAAAUUGUUCCGUAGAUUGUCACUAAUUUUUUGUAGCAAUCAGCUAAAUCCAGUGGCAGCAUAGUUUGAGAAGGAGAGUGUGCUGGUGUCAUGCAACGGUAAUAGAAGCAAUUGUCAUGAACCAUGAUGAACAUGGUGUCACAUCCCAAAACAGAACGCUAAAAUUAGUUAAUGAUGCCAAAAAAUUUUAUCGUAAUACAAUCUAGUCAGAUUGAAAUUACUUUGGUGACAUGCAACAAGGAACAAGAAUUAUAAAAAAAGAAGUUAACCAACAAAGCAAAUUAAACAGGAACCUAGCAUCACAAAUGUGUCAAAUUUUCUACUUUCCUACUUUUCAGACAAAUAAUCUGUUAUUUCUUGCUAUUUCUUCUUAGGAAUCCUUCUGCAAUUCUGUUUAUCAACAAUUCACCGAUGGUUGAGCAAUUUUGAACUCACCUAUCUGUAAAACUUUAAGGCCAUGUUAUGGAGUACUCCAACUUUAAGUUUAGAUGCCAAAAAUGAAAGUCAGAGAAUUAAAUGGGACUUCCUACACUCUGGGAUUAAAAUUAGUAUAAACUAAGCAAACUUCAGCUACAUUUCAGCUUACAGCAGAGCAGAUUCCAUACACUUGACAAGAAAUCACAAGCAUAAUUUAUUCGACGAUUAAUCCCACACACAUAAAACAUCUACACCAUCAAACUUGGAGUCGUUAUAUUAAUUUAAUAUUAUACAAUUAUCCAAUUUCACGAUCAAUCAAAGUAAUCUCAAAAUAAAGCAAAUUGGUCUGAUCAAAGGGCCAUAGUGACUUAGAAAAAUGAGCAGAACGCAGCAAACAUAAAAAACAUCUAGAAGACGAAUGAUACAGGGUGAGUAACAGAGGAUAAGAAUUUGAAUUCAGAGUUAAUUUCAAUAUACAAAGCAAAAUGGCGGUGUUAAAAAGAAAAAAAAAAAGCCAUAACACUCGAGACACUGUACAAAUUAUAAGAAAAAACAGAAACCAUUUGAGCAAACCUCCAAAGAACCGAGAAAAUGAAUAAUAUAAGGUGAUUAUCAGAGGGGAAAAAAGUUGAUUUCACAAUGGAUUUCAAUACAAAGCAAAAUGGGCUCUUCAAAAGAAGGCUAUGAAACUCAAGAACUGAUCACAAUUACAAGAAAAUGAGCAGAACCCAUUUGAACAAACCUCGAAAACACCGAGAAGACGGAUGAUAUUUGGGUGAUUAACAGAGGAUAAGAAGUUGACUUCGCAGUCCAAGCAGUUCUUGAGGCUGCGGGUAAGCUUUGAGAGUUGGAUUUGCUUUAAAGCAACUAUUUGCCCGCUUUCUCUGUGCCUCGCCUUCCACACCCUCGACACUGAUCCUCUGCUGCCUUCGCUAAGUAGGGAUUUCAAAACGUAGUCUUGAAUUCUUCCCAGUUCGUUUGAGUCCGACGAAUGUUUCUCCUCUAUCUCAUCAGUCUCCAUUGCUCUCGAGAUUUUACGUCUUUUAGCUUUCGGGUGCUGGGUUCUUGGUCCCUCUAGAAGCCGCUGGUGGAUGUGCAAUUUUAAAUCGAAUUCUAUAGUUUCGGUUUUAAUAAUUGUAGUUAAGUUCAAGGGCUAAAUUACAAAAACUCAGCCUCAGGUAUAUGGCCAAUUUUACACACUAUAUUCUCACAUUAUUUUUUUCUUACUUUAUCCUAAAAUCAUUAGUCUAACUCUAACUGUUAUAUAAUGGCAAUGUCAACAAAAAAAAAAUUAUUACCUCUAAAGAUUAAUUAGUAUAAAUGCCCUUAAGAUAUGGCGUGUUUCCUAUUAAAAAAAGAUAUAACGUAUUUUGCAUUUUAUCUCCUAACAUCAUUUUUUCUCUUUUUUUUUUGUAUCAUAAACUCUCCAAUGUUUUAUAACAUCAGGACAAAUUAUGUCUAAAAAAAUAUCAUUAUUCCAAACAUAAUAAUGAAAUAUAAUAUAUUUAUGGUUAUAGGUCUAAUUUGUCUGAAUGAUUCAUUAGCAGAGAAUGAUUUGUUGAACUCAAUAUGCAACUCUUAAUUACUAUUUAUUUUCAUUUGUACUCUAAAUUACUAAGCUGUAAAUUGGUUAUGUUAAUGUACAUAAGUAUUAUCUAUACUACAUAUAAAGUUUGAGAAAAGGAUGUGGGGUUAACAUUUAUUUUUAUUUUAUGAACUUCCUUUCUACUACAUGUAUAGAUUACUUUUAUUUUAACUACCUAUAAUUACCCAUGACUAUUUUUACUUUUAAUUAUUUAAAUAUAUGUUUUCAACAUCACUAUCCUUUCUUCAGUAAUAAAAAUUUUAAUUAAAAUAUGUGACCAUAAAUAUUAUGUAUUUUUUUAGUGCGCACAUAUUGGGUAUGUAUUGAGCACUAGUAACUUAUAAUUUGGGAGUACAAACUGCUAAUCAAUUAUAGUUUGAUGGUUUAUAAAGCAAUUAACACUUUUCAUGAGAGUUGUUUUGGUUUCUAAAAGGGGUUCACCAUAGAAUUCAUAAUUCUUCAUAAAAAAGAAAAGAAAUUAUUAGUAGAGAGUGCAUAAUUUUGAUAUGUUAUUAGGGAUAUUUGUAUUUAUUUUUCUAUAAAAUAUGCUAUAGUCCUGAAAAAAUGUACAUUCUACGGAGAAAUUAAUUCAAGUAUCCUUUAUAAUAAAUUGUAAUAUAAUCCUUUUUAGACAUUCUUCCUCACUGUUGAUUGACACAACUUUUCGUCAUUCUGAAUGCAUUUUAGUAAUGAAUUUGGCACGGGAUAAUUUCACAAAUCUUGGGAUUUAUGACAAUUGCGCAAAACUACCAAUGAGUUUGAAAAAUUACACUCAACUCCCGGAAUUAGCAUUGCUUGAAAGUUGAAAAUAAUAAUAAUUCGAACGGACAAGUUUUAGAAACAAAGCGUAGCCUGUCCCAUUCUAAUCAGGAAUCGAAGAACGCGAGAUUAUUAGGCAUUUUCCUAAACAUUUUCUGAUUAGCAUCACCUUUCCAAAACAAGAAUGAAUCUCCUUUCACACCAGGACCAAGUUUAGAAAUUGCAUUGAUCUUCUUCUAUAUAUAUAGUAACUACAUUGUCGUUUGCAUCAAUCUGCCUGGCUAAAAAUCAAGAAACCCUGAAGUUGUUUACGAGAAUUUUUUUUUUUCCAUUCCUGAUUCUUGAUUGGCUUCUCCAAUGGCGAGUAAAGGACUCCCUCCCCUUGAUCUGAUUCUGCCACUGGCUCCACUGAGUACUCGGCAGCCCCCGCCCUCCUCCACCUACACAUACGGUCCAGCUAGUCAUGAUCAAGAUGCUGCUCCAAUCAAGUACGCUCUCCUGCCCACUGCAGCAGGUGUUGCAAACCCGGGUAGUACCAUAUAUUUUCCAGAAUUAUUUCGUCCUGUGGAAAGAACCAAUGUAAGAAAUCGAGGGCUUGAGCCGCCACGGCUUGAUUUGUUGCGUAGGGAUGAUAAUGGUGAUGGAUGUGAUCUUUCUCUAGCUCCUCCAUUGCAGGACAAGGGCAAGGGUAAGAUACCGGCACAGGGACGUUACUUGGAGACGAAGAAACAAAGAAAAAGAAGAGUCCGAGUUGAGCCUGAUCGGGGUCAAGAAAUCAAGAAAAGAAAGGUAACAGCAAAGGCCAAAGGGAUCAAGAAUAUCAAGAAAAGCAAACCUCAGAACGGUGGAAGGACUGAGGCAAUCUCAGUCAGCAGUUCUAGCCCUAGUAGUGCUGCUUUGUCUCUGUAAUCAACAUGGCAAUUUUUGAUGUUUAUCGGUGUAGUAUUUAGUUUUUUUUUCUAGUGCUUGAAUUCUUAUAGUUUUUUAGUUUUGCAGUCUUAUGGAUUUUUACAUUGAAAGUAGGAAGCAAGAUAAUCUCAUCAAAUUCUAUUGUCUUCUCUUAAAUAUUCAUUGUCCAUCGAUUUUCUUUUACUGUAAUUUCUUUUGCUUUUAAUUUUCUUCUAUGCCUGACAGUUGGUUCUCAAAUUUUAUCAUAUCUACUCGACCAAGAAACUACUUUUUCGUUGUUUCUGAUUUGAUUAGUUCUCUGCAUUCCUGCUGAGGAUUCAUGUCUGAAUAGAUACCAUAUAUGGCCUUCAAUAGCCUGAUGGAUGAUACACAACUUUGGAGAACAAUAUAUUAUUGGGUCCUAGAAAGAGUUGUUAGGCAUAGGAAUUUUUUUCUUGCUAAAUUACCAAAAAACAAAAAAAAAAUGAAGGAAUUGUUUCUUGAUUUAAAAAAGAAGUGUUUCUUUUUUUCCUUGAGUUUUUUUUUUUGGCAUGUUUGGUGUUUGUUUAACAUUUAGAACAUUAGUUCAACUAAACGUUAGGAAUCUACAUGAUAUUUUGAUUUUUAUGUUGCUUGCAGUCAAUAAACGGGAUAUGAAUCUGCUGAUUUACAUUGCAGUCCCUCAAUUCAAGAUCUGGUCAAAGUCAAGAAGAAAAGAAUAACAAUACAACUAAUGCUAAAUAAUGAUUAGAUGAAAAUCUCAGUUUAAUAGAUAAAAACAGUCCUAUUUCGACACAUAAUAUGUGACGAUUUUUAGAGUUCUCUCUGCCUACCUUUCAUAAAUAAAUUACUGACAGUUGGAGAUAGGAAAGGCGUAGAGAAGGAUGGAACGAUAAAAAACAAAAAGAAUACCAUCAAUUCAAUUACAAUGUUAUGCUAAUGUUUCACAUAAAUUUUUCUACAACCUUGUACUCAAAAUGGAUCAAAUGUUGUGUGCAUACCUAUUUUACUUUGAGUGCAUAUCUCCCUCCUCUACAGGAUCACAAGUUUUGUUGAUGCUAGAAAUUGGCUCGAUGUCGUUUUACUUUUUUCUUGUUUGAGUUCAACCUGUGACAGGCAAGUCUUAUUUCUUAGGGAAAGUUUCAAAAGUUAAGUUAUUAAACUUUUUAGAGAGAUAAAAUUAUGAGAAUUAGCUUUCCAACCCUAAAAAAAAAAAAAAUUUAGUAUGUAUAUAAAAGUUGACUUCAUUCUCCUAUCAUGACCUCAGAUAGACCUUGGACCUUAAUGGAUUUUUGUACAGCUGGUGCCACUGUCCCUUGUGACCUGAAGUCUAACUUUACACUAGGGCUUGAAUGUUUGGGUCUAGGCCCGAUACUUGGGCCUAGUAUUUUUCAAUUCUACUGCUAUAUAUCCAAAAGAAGGCUGUGUUUUCUUCUCCCUUGUAUGUUCCCAGUUGGUGUAGGAACCUUGAAAUGCAAUUUAGUCAAGUCAACCGAACUGAUGGAGAAAUAAAUUCACAAACCUUUUGAAUGUUUACGAGAAUUUCAUAUAGCUCCCCUUUAUGUUUUCAAAAUUGCACUUAUUUCUCUUAUCUUGAUGUUUGUUAAACAAUUUAUUACAUCCCCAUGGUAGAGAAAUAUCAGACAACAUAAACCCAUGAGUGCGACUUUUUUCUUUUCUCUUCUUGCUUUACUUUUAUUGUUUUUAUUUCCCGGUUACCAUUUACAAAUUUAUCGUCCCGAUUUUUGCUUCAUUUUUAUGUUGCUAUAAUGAAUAAGAUAACGGUUACUUGUUGCAUAUGAAAUCCAUUUGCGUGUCUCUUAUUCCUUUUUUUUUUUUUUUGUCUUCCUUUUUUUUUUUUUUUUUUUGUCAAUCAUCACUUUAUCUAUAGUAAUCGCUACAUUAUCUAAUCUAAGGAGAGAUUCAACUGGGGUCUAAGGGAUCGGUAGAGACUGAACCACCACUGUAUCAGACAGGUGUACUAUGCACCUAUCUGAAUUUUUUAAGAAACCACUUAAUAUGACAAUUUGAACCCUUGCCUCCCAUUCCACCAAACUUUUAAUAGUUUAGUGGUGGCCAUUAGUCCAAAGGCCGGUGGUUAUUUGCAUGUCCCUUCGGUUUAACAAAGUUUGUACAUCCUUCGGUAUCAUAAAUGCAAGAAAUGGAAAUUUUAUAAAUCCGAGAGGGACAUGCUAAGAAAUUAGGUGUCAAGUUUCACAAGAGGGCAACGCACGCCAUUAAAAAAUCUACUCCAAAUUUAUUUGCAAGAUACGGUCAAUUUGGUCGACUAUCAACAAUUUAAGAAACCAUUAAUAACAAAUAUUGACAGUUUAACAAGUAGUUAACACUGAUUACUUAAGGUGAUAGUGAUAACCACACAACUUAUUGGACCGGGGCUAGGGGUGCAAACGAAUCGGCUCGCGGGCGGCUCAAUUCGAGCUUGAGCCGGUCGAGUCAAAAUCGAGCUCGAGCUCGAGGUCAAAACAUUAAGCUCGUUAGCUCGCGAGCCUCGAAUAUAUAUAUAUAUAUAUAUAUAUAUAUAUAUAUAUAUAUAUAUAUAUAUAUAUAUAUAAUAUCUUUAAUAUUUUAUUUUCUGUGUAUAUAUAUAUAUAUAUAUAUAUAGGCUUCCAGUGGUUUGAUCUCUCAAAAGGCUCCUAGCUUAGUAACUUGUAGUAAUGGAGUUUGAAAAGAUGUAUUUUGAUGUUGAGCCAAGCUACAUUAUUGAUCAUCAUUGUAGUAGCUUGGAAACUGCAUUAACUUUCCAAAACAAUUUGAUUCCACCUUAUUCUUUCCAAGAUUAUGUUUCCAAUGAUAUUGUUAGCACCGAAAACUUUCUUGAAAUGGAAACAGAUAUCAAGGAUUUCGAGCUAAAAAUUGUGCUUUAGACCACGAAAACGUGGUACACAAAAGAUUGUUGCCCUGUCAAGAAAUCCAAGAAACUAUGGAUAUUUUGGCUGCUGAGCAAUCCCAUUUGAAGGAUAUUCAAGAUGAACUCAUGGAAGAGAGAGCUUAACUGAUCUGCUGCUGAUGGGGGCAGAAGCUAUUGAAGCAGGAAAUGUUCGUUUUGCUUCAUUAGUUGCACUCAGGCUCAAGGAUAUCCUAUCUGAUCAAGAAAAUGGUGACAAUCCAUUGGAUAGGUUAGCUUUAUAUUUCACUCAGGGCCUUCUUGACAAGAGCCUCACUGCUCCUGAGCUUCCGGAGGACCCUGUUUCGCACAAACCAAUGCUAUCUCAGCCUUCCAAAUGCUGCAGGAGCUGUCACCAUAUGUGAAGUUCGCGCAUUUCACAGCCAACCAGGCAAUCCUGGAGGCAACGAAGGUCAUCAGGAGAUUCAUGUUAUCGAUUUUGACGUCAUGGAAGGAAUUCAAUGGCCUUCUUUGAUGGUUGACCUUGCUGCUAGAGAAGACGCAUCUCUUAGGAUAACUGCUAUUGCUGGUGACAAAAGAAGUUCAUGCAAUAUUCAACAAACAGGUUUUAGAUUACAAGAUUUCGCAAAUUCAAUCAAUCUUUCUUUCUCCUUUGACCAAGUUCUGGUAACGAAAGAAGAAGAUUUCGAAGAGAUCAAAGUAGGGCAUACCCUGAUAGCUAAUUGUAUGAUUAAUCAGCUUCAUAUGCCUUACAGAGAAAGCUCAUUGGUCAAAACAUUUUUCAACGGUUUGAGGAAACUGUCCCCAAAGAUAUUGGUUUUAGUCCAAGAAGAGUUAUUCAGCUUCUCUAAAGCUCCAUCUACAUCAUUUGCGGAGUUCUUUUGUGAGGCCUUAGAUCAUUACACAGCACUCUCUGAUUCACUCCGGAGUGGUUUUUGUGCAGGUUACAAAUUAGCAUUAAAGAUCAUAGAGAAGGAGUUCUUGAGAAUGAGAAUUUUGGAUAGUGUGAAACAUUUUCCUUGUGGGAUCAUGGGAAAUGAAAGUAACAUGUUGCCAGAUUAUCCUUCUAUGAAUGGAUUCAGGCCAAUUCCUACGAGUUCCUGUAAUGUUACUCAAGCAAAGCAUUUAAUCAGUUUGUUUAAUGGGGGUUACUGGGUGCAAAAUGAACAGUGCAAGUUAACAUUAUGUUGGAAAUCAAGACCUUUGACCACCGCUUCCAUUUGGGUGCCGACAGCAUCAAGCAACACUAGUCUUGCUAGGUCAACUUCUUUUUAAUUGGUUUAGAUCAAUUUCCUUGGACUUUGGAUCAUAUUAUAUAUUGGAAGCUAGUGUGACAGUGUAUUUUCCCCUUGUGAAUAGCCAUGUUUUGUUUUUAAGAUUUGAAAUUGAAGAGUUGAAAGUGAUAUGUAUACAUUAAAAAAUUUUCAUGCUAGUAGUGGGUGUUAGGUUGCAAGGUGUGACCAAUGCCGCAAAUGGAAUCUUCUUUGCCUUUGUUUUCCUUUUAGAUGGCUUUUACUCUUUUUCCUUUUGUUGGUUGUGGGGAAAAUUAGUGCAGAAGCACAUUGGAAAGAGGAGAAUGUGACUACAAAAUGAAAAUGGGAAAAUAAGUGGCUCCAAAACGUUCUCAACUUUGAGAAUUUUAUCAGCAGAUUUAUGUUCUUGAAAGUAGAUAUUAUCCAAGUGUUAUUGUUUUUCAAGUUUCUCCAUAUGGCUUUUAGCUCCACAUAUACAAGCAUCAAAUCAAAUUAAAGAAGAUUCUAAAAGGUUUGUAGUUUAUAACUGAAGUACACUUUACUCCCUCAUACUAUAGUGGCAGUUCGUUCCCAUCUAUAUUCUCUUUGUUAGGACUUUAAACCCUUUAGGCUUUUUUUUUCUGGUAUAACGCACAGGUAUUUGCAUCCGUUUUAUGAUCUGCGACUAAUCAUGUUUGAACUCUUGCAUCAACAUCACGUUGGUUUAAGCCCUUUAGUUACUACUCCAAAUAUCUGAACAAUAAUCCCAGUGUACUUUGAGAGUCCAUUUAUCCUUUAGCGUUUCUUUUUCAUAUUUUUCCCGUAACUAAGAAGAAACAAACUGAUGAGAAUAGUGAAGUUCCUAUCAAGAUUGUAUUCAGACCUUAUUUAGUAAACUAGCUUUUCAAGAAACUCUCAAAUGGUUGUAGUUAAUCUCUUCAAAAGUUAACUCAUAUUCCUCCGAAAUGAGUAAAAAAACUGCUACAAAUGUUAAUUUUUCCAGAUCAAUAAAGCAAAUUCAAUAGGUUAAAGGCAGUGAAGACCUCACCACAAUGUGGUCACAAGAUGGGUUGUUGGAACUUAAUCUGCUUAAAUUUGCUUCUAGAAUAUAACAUGUGAAGAGAAAUUAAAAAAAAAAAAAGUAAUAAAAAACCAAGUCCCAAGUAAAAUCUGCUCGAAAGAAAUUCCAUGGAGGUAACAUAUGUACAAAGAAAAUACAAGAUGAUUGUAACUAAACUUGCUCUAACAAACAUAUUUAUUACUUAAUGUUGAAAAAUCUCAAGACAUGGUUGAUUUUAAGGUUAACAGCUACAGGGAAUGAUUGAACAGUCAGAGUUGUGUCAACUAAUUUCCAUGAGUGACAGAACACAAAUAUAUCAAUCUAUUGUCAAGACUUGUACAAGAUCCAAAGCGAUGCUAGAUUUCUUACAUUCCAAGGAAAUGCAGCUAAAAUGCAACAACUCGAGGGGAAAAAAACAAAAGAAAAAAAAUAAAGAAGCUCAAUAGCAAAUAAAAUAUUUAGUAUAUAGUAUAACCGAACAUAAGCUACAAAAAGGGUAUAUGGUAGAAUUAUCAGGCACGUAGAGCACUGCGCACCUAAAAGGAGGGAGGAAACUGAAAACCAAAAAGCAGAACCAAUCUAGCCACAGAAGUGAUUUACCCCAACCACUAUUAGCAGAAACAUGUGAAUAGUUUCAAGAGCUUAAGGACUGAAACUCACAAGUGAAGAACUUUUUUCUUCAUUGGCUGUUCAAGCACUGCAAGCUAUAUUUCCAGAUUGCCAUUUUAGAUUGAAUAUCUUCUAAAGUGGUUAACAAAUGUAAGCUUUAAACAGUGUGCAAGCUCUCCAAUUUAUCCAGUGAUCAUUGUUCCUACUCCUUCAUCAGUGAGAAUCUCAAGGAGUAAUGAGUGCUGUACUCGUCCAUCAAGUAUAGUUGCAGUCCUGACACCUUGAGCUACGGACCUCACGCAGCAAUCCACCUUUUGAAACAUCCCACCUGCAAUCUUCCCAUCAUUCAUCAUCCUCCUCGCCCCUUGGAUAUCUACUUCCUUCACCAAACUUCCUGGGUCACCUUGGUCCUCUAGAAUUCCAGCCACAUCAGUCAAAAGAAUUAACUUCUCUGCUGCCAAGGCCGCAGCAACCUCACCCGCAGCUAUGUCUGCAUUGAUGUUGUAUGACUGGCCUGUCUUGUCAGCAGCUAUAGAGGCAAUGACUGGGAUAUGACCAUUGUCAAUGAGUUGUCGAAGCACUGUGGGGUCCACAGUGGCUAUAUCACCAACGAAGCCAAGCUGAUCAGAAUUUUGGGAAGGCCUGGCAGUCAAAAGACGGCCAUCCAUACCAGAUAAGCCAACGGCAGAAGCCCCUGCCUUGUUGAUUAAGGCAACAAGAUGUUUGUUCACUUUACCCGCCAAUACCAUCGAAACAAUUUCCAUGGUUGUUGCAUCAGUGACACGACUUCCAUUCACAAACUUGGGCUUCAGCCCAACCUACCAAGCCACUGGUUGAUUUCAGGACCCCACCAUGGACCAUGACAAUGCGAAGACCAACACGAGAGAGAAGAACCAAGUCAGACAUUACAGAAGCUUGAAGGGCCUCAGACUUCAUGGCUGCACCUCCAUAUUUGACCACAAUUGUCUUGCCAUGGAACUUUUCUAUGUAAGGCAGCGCCUCCGGAAGGAUAUUGACUCUUUUUGUGCUGAUAUGGAACGUGUUUCAGGUACAACUACAGGUUCUGAUGAAGUCUCGUGGCAGGAGCUCCGAAAACUAAGAGAAGGAUUGGUAUACUUUUUCAAUCCAUUUGUUGAUGCCUAUGCAGUUUGUUGAGGUGAGAUUAGCACCAGGAGAUUUGGGUGCCUUUAUCAAAGCGGAGGAGAGAGGGAGGGAUUUAGCAGGCAGCAUUUCUUCUGCCUAACCUCCUUUUGCGUGGACUAUUUGGGUCAAAGCAAGAAAUCCAAACCAACCACACUCCAAGCAAAACGCAGGGAAACAGAUCAAUGAGAUCUGCAAUAAUAAGAGACUCCAAAUUGGAACAGCAACAAUUAAAAUUUUGUUUUACAACUGCAAAGCAAUACAGUUACGUACAAAAAAGCACACAUCGUUGUGUGAAAUUUGGGACUAGAAAACAAAUUUAGGAUGUCAAAAUCACAAUCUUUAUACGUCAAAUUCAGAGCCUAGAUUACUAAUGGAGCUCCCCUUACAGGUACAAGGAGGGUGUUGGCGGAUUUUUCUCUUUAUAGUUCAAAUAAUAAUGAAUUAUGGUUCAUGACCAAGCAUCUUCCAGAUUCCAAAAGGUAUUAUUCGUAAAAAGAAAAAAAAAACAAUAAACAAAACUGCCACUGAGGUUCAUGUAGCACUAUAACAAUUAAAGAACUGCUCAAGUGCAAAUCAUACAAAAAGUUCAGCAACCAGUGAAAUUUAAAGCCAGUAAGAGGGUUCAGGAAUUUCAAGAUUGUCAUGUUUUAUUCUUACUAACUAAUAAUCAUCAGGUCAAUAAACUCCAAAACUGAUACCAUUACAGUAGAAGUUCAAAUUCUCAUUCUCAGAGAACAGACAAAUCAUUAGAUAAUUUCCAUCAUGUUGACAUAAUAUUUUAAUAAAAUGGACGUAAUUGCAGUCACAGGGCCAGGGAUAAAGAAUGGAGCGCACAAGGUUUUCUUGGAGAUCAUUAUUACGAAAAAUCAGGAAUGUAUCAACUUAUUCUUCCUACUAUACAGAUUCUGAAAAGUAUAGUUACAGCUCAAAAAUCAGAAUCAUCCCAGUGUAAUAACUAAGUAAAAAUAAUUUAAUUAACUGCUGCAAAUAAUCAAGCACCUGCGAUGCUUUAAUACCUCAUCUGUUGUGCUAAAGACUGCACAAAUUAAACCAACAGCACCCGAAAUUUACAGUUAAAUCACAACAAAUUAUGCAUAUAGAGCAAAAACCCAUUUACAAACAUCAGCGAAUAAAAAAUUAGUACAAGUAUAUUAUAGCAGUUGACUGGGGCAAAUAAUCAAACACCUAAGAUGCAUUACUACAUAACCUACUUCAAUAAUCAGCAGCCCAAUAAUUGAGCCAAAAAUUGCAUAAUUACAGCAUCAGACAAAAUUUUACCUUCCCCCGUAGAAAUUUCAACCAACUAUUAGAAGCAAAAUGAGUAGAAAUCCAUGCACAGAAAUCCCUAAUAUCGAUGUUUUUGAGAUGAAAUUAAGAUAAAAUGAAGAAGCCCCUACGCCGCCAUGUUAUCUUUGUUCGCCCUUACAAGAACUAUAAGUAUUUUGUAAUGCUCCGUCGAAAGUGCCUUACUUCCUAUUUUGAAAUGUCUUAAAAUAUUUGUCACGUUAAAAAAGUCAAAACACCCUUAUGUUAUCAUUUAAAUUUUGAAUUUAUGAAAAUAAAAUUAAAAAAUAUAUAUAAACAUCAUAAUUAAAUCAUAAUUUUUAAAAUAUUAGAUUUCCGAAACAUAACUAAAUAAUUGAGACGGAAGGAGUAUAUUCAAACCUCCUGUCACGCUUUCUUAUAUUUCAAUGCCAACUCUCAAUCACGUCACGCUUGUAAGGGCGUGAAAUAUACAUUCAUAAUCUUAAAUAGAUUGGGAGUCCUACAUACAGCAUAUUUGGACAUGUAUUAGAGGUCGAAAUGGGAAAAAUGAUUAUUUAAGGGUAGAGAAUUGAAUAACAGUUGUUAAUUAAGAAAUCAGAAAAUUAUAGCAAAUGAGAAAGGACAGAGAGGUCCAAGGGUAAAACGGGAAAAGAAAAAAUUAAUUGAAUCUUUAGGAAAUCCAAAAAAAAUAUAGCGAAUGAGAAAGGGCGACAAAUGAUUAUUUAAGGGUAGGGAAUUGAAUAAGAUGUACACAUUAAGAAAUCACAAAAAAGAAAUUUAACAAAUGAGAAAGGAUGGACGAAUCAGAGGAUAAAAUGGAGACAAAUGAGAGGAUAGACAAAUCUAAAGGUAGAAUGGUAAAAAUAAUUGGAAAUGAUAAAAAAUUAAGGAAUCCAAAAAAUAUAGCAAAUGAGAAAGGGAACCAGACCAGAUGAUUAUUCAAGGGUAGGGAAUUGAAUAACAUGUCCGUUAAUAAAUAACAAAAAGAGAUGAUUUUAGAAACCUCCAUUAAGGUUUCUAAUAGUUUCACUUAACACUAUUAAAUUUUUAAAAAUCUCACUUAACUCCCCAGAUUUAAACUUUGUGUAACAUUUGAAACUCAUUUCGAAAUAUAAUAUUAAAAAAUUCAUUUUGGGAGAGUGAAUACAAUCUGAUUCCAAGUUGGCCCUUUUCUUAUGAUUUCUUAAUUAUCAUAAUAUGCCAAAUUUAUUACUUAACUUUUGCAAAUUGAUCAAUGUCUCGUUAACAAUUUUUGUGUCACUGCUUCAGAUAAAAUAGGUUAAAUUACCUAAAAUUAUGAAUGAUUUAUAUUACUCUUAAAAAUGACUUGCAAUAAUUUAUAACCAUGAGAAUAUCUUUUUGGACUAACUUAAAAAUAAUAAAAAACAAGUUUAUAUAUAAAAUUUAGCAUGUUGUAUCUUUUUAGUUAUCAAGCCAUCGAUUUAGAAAAAAUUAAAAAAUGUGUAAAUGAUUUAUUAAUUAACUCAAAACACUUUGAUAAAAUGAGAGGAGACAGACAAAUUCAAGGGUAAAACGGUAAAAAAAAAUUGGGUUAUAGAUCCACCGAAGCGGGAAGCCUUAACCGGAUGUGUUGGUAACAGUUAAGGCCCGAAGGCCGUUCCCGUCCCUGUCGGGGAGAUGCCAACCAUCUCUCCUUCUUAUGAACACGGCCAACGGUGGCGACCACUAGAAAUUACAACGCGCUUAAAGCUUAUCCAACAGGCCGAUGUGGGACAAGUUUCGGAUACGGCAAUCCCAAAAGAAAAUGGAUACUGAAAAACAAAAAGUCGUUGUGGUAAAUCAAAGUACAGAAAAAUUUUCGUGAUUUCAAAACGUACAAUAUGAUGUCUCAUAUUUUGAACUAAUUUGUGAAAAUGAUUAUUAAUUUUAGCGGAUUCCGUCACCUUUAUGAAAUCAUGAAAUUUUUCUAUGUAUUAGAUUUGUCACGAGUGAUUUUUUUAUCUUUUGAUCCAAAGAAAAUCGAUUUGCUUCGUACUAUCCCUGUGCACUUAAACACGCUUGUCAUUAUUGGCGUAUAAGAACCCAUCUUUUUGGACGCUUGACCAUUUUAUACAGUUUCAUUGGGCUAAUAUUUCACGUUUUAAACAAUGAUACCUACGUGAAUAUAAAUAAUAUAUAGGGAACGAAUUACAUGUGAAUGAAAAAGUUUCAUAUUAACCUGAGAAAGAACUGAAUUGUAAUCAUGACUUACAAAAACUCCAAAAUUUCAUUGCUUUAUUUACCCAAAAAAAAAACAAGUAGAAAUUUUAGGGCUCUGGUUCCCAUAAGUAAUACAUGAACUUUUAAAGAAACAUAUGAAUGCUAUAAAUCCUUUGUGUAGUACCCGAGAUCAUCUUCGAGAUGAUCCCUUGUUUCCGUAGACUUUCCAAUCUCAUCAAGUUAACUUAUAACUUAGGUCUCGGUAGCCAGGUAUCUCUAAGACCAAGAAGUGAUUGACAUGACAUUUCGCAAGUUAUUGCAGGUAUUUAUAGUUACCCCCUUUCCAUCGAUUUCGAAGGUAAUUGCAAUCCUGUGACCUUAACCGGGGCUUAAUUCCCGAGCUUUGUUUCUUAUUUCGUGCAGGAAGCUUGUAACAAUGAUUGCCGAUCUACACAGAUCUCGGGAAUCCUGAUUACGAUUCUACACUAUGCUUUUGUAAGUUACGUAAUCUUGGUUCCUAAUUUUCAUGGUUAUUCAAUCUCCUUCUCCCUAUAUAUUAUUAGUACUUCCACCCUUUACUUUCAGGUAGGGAUGUAUUCGAGCCAAGUCGAGCUCAAAUAGUGCUAUACUCGAGCUCGACUCGACCUAUAUGUACCUAGACUCGAGUUCGGCUCGAGCUCGACCAAGUUUAAAAAUCGUAACUCGAGGCUUGACUCUAGAAAAUUCUUUUAAACUCGAGAGUCGACUCGAUAAGGCUCGACCUUUAGUCAAGCCUUAUCAAGUCGAACAUAAUCAAGCUUUUUGAGCUUUAGUCUCUUAAUGCAAGUGAUCUAGGGACUUUAGAGGAAUUAUAUAAAGUGGGAUGAAGUUUGUGGAGUUUAGUGGAAUUAUACCGAGUGUGUUUUGUUUUAAAGGCAUUUCUAACAAAUUACACACAACAAUUCUAGUGAUGCUUGUUUAACUCUCCAUAUCAAGUCAUUAAAUCCAGGCUACUACGAAAUACUCAAAUUGUUCUUCCUUCUUUCUUUUUAACAUCCAGGAUUGACAGGUUACGCCUUAUAUCUAUACAAUUUUUAUUUUGGGGUUUUAGAAAUCUGCUCUUAGAAGUUAGAAUUUAUUCUUUAGCACAAAGAGAGCAAUAAUUAGAUUCUAGAGCCAUGUGAAGAUGAUGGAGUGUGUUUUCAAAUUUUUUUUUUUUUUUUGAAAAAAAGGGUUGUGAGCAAUUUCCUUCUGAUUGAACCACUUUUGACAAAGGUUGCCAAUUCAGUUGAAGUCCAAUUUAGUAGAACCGUGUCCUACUUUAGCCAAUUGCGUGGCAUUUUUACGAAAAAUUCCACACAGCAUACCAUUCAAAUGCGGAAGGCAAAAAAGAGGCAAAAAAAUUCCACACAGCUUUCGUAUUCAUUGUUACACUUACGCAUGCCUAAUAAAAAAGGCCAAAAAAGACAAAAAAGGAAAACAAAUUAAAGCAGAAGUGUUUCAUCAGAUCUAGAUGGCGAUGGAGGCUGACAGGAAAACAAAUUUAAUAUGCUUCUGGAUUUACUCCCAGACCCAGUAAUCAAUCAUACUACUACUUCCCAUUCCCCGUCCCCAGUCCCCACACCCAUAGUGCCAUAGAGAGAGAGAGGGAAGCAAAGAUGAAUGAAGGGGGAAAUGGAAAUAGAACUGGAAAUGCACAUUAGAGCAGAGGCAGACAUACCAGUAACCAGAAAAGCGAUGGCGAUGGAGGCUGACAGAUGCGGCGAGCAACGGCUUGAGAGUAACGGAGGUAGGGUUUAGAAGUCACUCGUUCGAACAGAGAAGAAGGGAGGAAGAGAAACUAAAGUCUGAAGCUUUUCUUUGCUUUUUCCCAGCAUUUUUUCUUUUUAGAUCUUUUACAAUUAUGUUAUUACUUUUUUGCCCAAAGUAGCUCGAGACUCGGUUCGAACUCGAUUUGAUCGAGUUCAAGCCAAGUCAUUGACCGAGUUACUCGCAAGCUAUUUGAUAUUGGCUCGACUUGCAUACAUCCCUACUUUCAGGCACUCAGAUGUGAAUCUCUAAAAUCCAAAGCGAUUAGAAAGAAGUUAUUGGCCAGAAGUCACGGGCCAUGGAGUUGGACGAAGCAGGGGACGGGGCUGUGCUCCUCAAAAGAUGUCUUUAAAGGUUAUUCUGCUUCAUCAAGCUACCAAGCGCCGGCAGAUGAUCCGUCCAGGAACGCCACCAGGUGCCCGAGAAGGUGAUGAAAUACAGGGAUGUAAUUGCAGACUGUUCUAAUAAGCAGAAGGCUGGGGCCUCAAGAAAUGUUACAGGUUCAUUAUCAACCUACAGAAAACCAAUAGAUAAUCAAUCUUGGAAUGAUGUAAAGUGGAUGCACAGGUUCGAGUAAGGAGUCGAAAUGCAGCUUGGCCUUGGAGCUGAUAAAGGCUCGCAAAGAAAAAUUAUCAUUUGGCGCCUCAAAAUGCAAUAGAUACAAGGAAGUUCUUGCUGGCUGACCUAGGGAAGAAAAGGGGAACCUAAUGCUUAGAUUUGAAGAUUGCCAGCUGAAUCAUGUCUUGGCAACAGGAGACAACAAGUUUCGAUGAGUUUUACUUUGUUCCACUCUCCCCCUCCCCCAUUUUAAUGAAGAUGAAAGGGAAUUCAUUUUCACCAAUUCUUUUGUAACUCACCUCAUUUUAUUUGUUGAAUUCUGCGUAAGCAAUGAAUAGAAUCCAGCCACACAAGGUAAUCAACUCAUCUUCAAUGAACUGUUGAGGCAAUAGAUGAACUACCAGAGACAUCUCUAUAACGGCUUCACUCAUUUCAAUAUUGCACUUUGACUUCUUCCUGUUCCUUUAAAAAAAAAUUGCCAUUCAACUGAAAAGAAUUGAAAUAAAUCGAGGAAAGACCAGAAUAAGCAAAUUCAAAUUCCCAGGAGAGUUGUUUAGUAGUAAAAGGCUUGUGCGUCUGACAAAGAAUUAGUACAGCAGCGUUUCUAUACUGAAAUGAGACCAGAACAAGUACAGCAGCGUUUCUAGAUAUUGGAACAGUAUUCCUGAACUUGCAAUCUUGUGUUGUUUUUUGAAGCUUCCUUGCAGGGCGCCUAUGCUAGAACAUGAAUCCACAGGCAUAUCGGGGUAAUUGAGUCCAGUUCAACUACAGGCAGCCUAACCCUCCCUGUGAGCUGCCAUCUGCCAAAUUGUAUCACAAACAAGCAAAAGAAGUGUACCAAACCUAAGCAAAGAAGACUGAAUAUGAUUUGUCAACUUACCAUCUAACAUUGCAGCUGAUCUUCAAUGCGAAAGGCACAUGAAAUCUUCUCCAUUCCCGUAAAAGCACUAUAGCCACUGGGCAGGCCAAAUUAGUGCACUGCAUAUUCUCAUCCAUGGGAGUGAUGAUUUGACUGGGAACUGUGGCAAGAGACUUUAUUAAAACUCAUCGAUAACUAUUUAAAAUACUAUAGUGGAUAACUAUUUAAAGAACAGGUAAUUGGUGUCAUAAAAGGCAAAACAUAGCCAACCUCAUUCUGGCUAUCAACCCGUAACUCAGAACUACUUUAUCCACAUUUGAGAUGCCAAAUGAAGCCAAUUUUAAACCAAGUCUUGAUAUGAUAGAAAAACUCAUCCAAUCAGCUGUGGUGUGGCAGACUGAAAGUAAGCUUUCGGAUUGUCAUAGCUGGUUUGUACUCUACUAGUCAUUUAUGUCAAGGAGAAGGUAUAUGAUUUCAGGAGAACAGGCAGACUUAAUCAAGGAAGAAUGUUAUCCAUUAGCCUGAAAAGCUGGAGCAACAGUAUUCAUUAUAGAAGCUUUAAAUUCAAGAACGAUCCACUGACAAGAGGAAUGCAGCUGAGUUAAUAUUUUUUUCACACUCAGGAAAUGGCAGCUUCACAACUGAGAUCUUGGCAGACAACCCAUCAUAAUGACAUCAACAUAUAGAAACCUGGUCACCAACAUUGAGAUGAUUUACAAACAAAGCUAUAAAUCACUAAGACAGUUCAAUGGUGAUUUAGAAUGAAACCACUUAUUGCUGGCUUUUAUCUCUCCACUUUCUGAAUUUCCAAAAAGUCAUGCUCAUGAAACUCAUCAAAGGACAUCCGGGUCUCUGCAUAGACAGAAUACAAAGGAAUACUAAAAACUGCAGGUAUAACCAAAUUUCAGCGUUGCUCUCUGAAAAGAAAGGAAAAUCAUGAAAUCCUAAUCAAGGUAGGAUCCAAACCUGGAUUGACAGACAACAGUCUAGAACAUAAAUCAACACAGGUCGGAUGCAACUCAGAAAGAACCAGCUGAGAAAAGGGAAGAUAUGAAGAUUCCUUGAUAUUCUGCAAAAGCUGCAUCAUCCAAAUAUAAUUGGUGCACGAGGAGCUACUGAGACGGCUAUUCAAUUUAGAUAAAGGAGUUACCUGAACACUAGUCCUACCAUGAAAAGGAGGGUAGCCAUUAAGAAGUUCAAAAAGAAUUGCACCAAUGCUCCACAUGUCAACCUAUGAAGAAAGCUUAAAUCAAAUCGUGUCUCAAUCUGUACUCAUGAUUGUAUGAGUUCUCGAUAGUUCUAUUGGAUAUGCUGGCAACAUCUCUCUAGCACAUUUAAAAUAGUAGUAGAAAGAUCUCCAACCUUUUCAUCAUAUUUUUGAAAUUGAAGAAUUUCUGGAGCCAUGUAUAAUGGAGACCCACAGACUGUCUCAGCAAAGGUAUCAGGGUGCAAAAUUCUGUCAACAGGAAAAGGCAUUGAGAUCAUUACAAACAAUUUUAUUACAUUGUCCUCCUGUCAAAUGAAAAUUCAAAAGCUAUUACGUGUUAGUCAACUAUUACCUUGAGAGUCCAAAAUCAGCAAUUUUCAGCAGAGCAUCACCAUCAGAGCUUGACAACAGAAUGUUCUAAGCCAAAGAAAACAACACCCAAAAAAAAAAUUUGUAUCAGAAAGUCAAAAUUCUGAUAGGAAAUAUGAUGAAAAUUUUAGCCUUCAAUGUUAAGAGGAAAAAACAGAGGAAAUAAUCCAUUCCAUCCUAUUGAGAAAGAUUACUGAAGGAAAGACAAAAGCAACAAGAGAUAGCACAAGUUUGAAAUUGGGAAAGACUCGUCAUAGUGUGCUGACACCGGCAACCAAAUUAAUACAAGUGAUCACCUUAUACCAUAUGCAAAGCUUUUCCCUCAUCAGUGACUAACAUACUUUGUGUUCACCUAACUGUCUAAUAGCUAUAAGAACAUGCUCAGAUAUGCAACUAUGGGCGUAUUAGGCAUGCUUUCUUUAUAACAUUCUUUAUAAAUGGAAGAUGCCAAACCAGAAAGACUUUCAUGCAUUAGAUGUUUUUACUAUGUAAGUUCAGAGCCUGCUUUGCUUGAGGUAUUUGAGAUUCUAAACUUCCAAAUUUUAGAAACAGAACAGCAUAAUUAGCAUUAUUUCAAUUGUUUAUUUAUGACAACAUAGUUUCAUGCUAAAUGAACAUAUGUCGUCAAAGGAUUGGACAGUGAGAGAGACCACUCUCCUAUGAUGCAGCAUUUCGUAGAUAAAACAAGUAUAAAUGUACUCGUGGCUGCACUGUGAGGGAAGCUUAUAGAUACCUUAACCAAAAUAGGUAAAAAAUUCAUACCUCUGGCUUCAAGUCACGGUGGAUGAUUAGGUGUGAAUGCAGCACCUCUAAUCCAGCAGCUGGAACAAAAUUAUUAAAUGAGGCAAAUAGUGUAGUUGCUGAAAAUGAAGAAGUCUGAUGCCAUUUUCUGAGUGAAACAUUACCAAUCUGUUGCAUGAAUCUUUUAGCUAUGCAUUCUUGCACUCUACCAUGAUUCCGGACAUAAGCACCGAGAUUGCCCCCAGCACAAAACUCCAGGAUGAGAAAAAUGCUGCCUUCAGCCUGAAAGACGUCCAUUGACUGUCCUUGAGAAGGUGAUUAGAAGGAAAUUGCAAAUCACUUUCUUGGAGUUCACUUUUUUUGUGGAAGAAAAGAAAUGAAAAUUUCAUUAUCACCAUGAUACUGGAAGACUGCCAUAUCCAACUUUCAAGCUCUUGAAAUCCUGAGCAAUGAAAGAUCCUACACUAACAUGUUUUCAAUUUAAUCUUAAAUGCUUUCAUCUAAAUUGCAUUUGACUGGAAACAGUCUAUGUCCUAGAUUUCCCUAAUUCUGAGUAUUAAAUGACACAAAAAUGAUUGUCUUAGAUAGUUGUAGAAUGAGUGCUAUGAUGGAAGAGUCCAAAUUCUCAUACACAAUAUAGCUACAUCAAUAGUAAAUAAAUCAAGCCACAUCCAUUGAGAUAAAUGUGCCAGCGAGUUGACUUACAGACAUAUUAUGUCAUCCAAUCAAGCAAUAACAAUUUCAUAGUACUAAUUAAGUGGACGUGAGAGCCAACCUAGCUCAUAAAAGUCAUGACAUAAAGCUACCAAGGUGAUGGCCAGCAUGAUUACUUAAAUAAUGUAAUAAGAGCUAUAUUUUCAUCAACAACAAAACCAGAAUCUCAACCCUUACCACACAUUAUCACAUCAAAGGAGUAGUCCAUCAUCACACUCAAUUUCAAGAGCUAAUAGACCCAAAUGUAUAUCCAAAAAAUAAAUAAUAUAAAAAAGCUGUCAGCUUAAAUUUCAGAGCAUAUCGGUUAAAACAGGGGAUUUUGGUUAUCGGGUGAAAAAUUAAACUCAAAGUCUCAGUCAGCUGUGAGUGCACAAACGGCACAGAUGAACAACUAUGACAAUUUGAUUUGGCAACCGAAAAAAUUGUUCCGUAGAUUGUCACUAAUUUUUUGUAGCAAUCAGCUAAAUCCAGUGGCAGCAUAGUUUGAGAAGGAGAGUGUGCUGGUGUCAUGCAACGGUAAUAGAAGCAAUUGUCAUGAACCAUGAUGAACAUGGUGUCACAUCCCAAAACAGAACGCUAAAAUUAGUUAAUGAUGCCAAAAAAUUUUAUCGUAAUACAAUCUAGUCAGAUUGAAAUUACUUUGGUGACAUGCAACAAGGAACAAGAAUUAUAAAAAAAGAAGUUAACCAACAAAGCAAAUUAAACAGGAACCUAGCAUCACAAAUGUGUCAAAUUUUCUACUUUCCUACUUUUCAGACAAAUAAUCUGUUAUUUCUUGCUAUUUCUUCUUAGGAAUCCUUCUGCAAUUCUGUUUAUCAACAAUUCACCGAUGGUUGAGCAAUUUUGAACUCACCUAUCUGUAAAACUUUAAGGCCAUGUUAUGGAGUACUCCAACUUUAAGUUUAGAUGCCAAAAAUGAAAGUCAGAGAAUUAAAUGGGACUUCCUACACUCUGGGAUUAAAAUUAGUAUAAACUAAGCAAACUUCAGCUACAUUUCAGCUUACAGCAGAGCAGAUUCCAUACACUUGACAAGAAAUCACAAGCAUAAUUUAUUCGACGAUUAAUCCCACACACAUAAAACAUCUACACCAUCAAACUUGGAGUCGUUAUAUUAAUUUAAUAUUAUACAAUUAUCCAAUUUCACGAUCAAUCAAAGUAAUCUCAAAAUAAAGCAAAUUGGUCUGAUCAAAGGGCCAUAGUGACUUAGAAAAAUGAGCAGAACGCAGCAAACAUAAAAAACAUCUAGAAGACGAAUGAUACAGGGUGAGUAACAGAGGAUAAGAAUUUGAAUUCAGAGUUAAUUUCAAUAUACAAAGCAAAAUGGCGGU
This 21657-nucleotide long non-coding RNA is filed under the name Coffea arabica (coffee). RNAcentral describes it as "long non-coding RNA (CARA_LNC004981)". Lineage: Eukaryota; Viridiplantae; Streptophyta; Magnoliopsida; Gentianales; Rubiaceae. The record is from RNAcentral.